UAGUCGGGAUCGAACCUCGUCUGGUCUUUGCAUCGGACACCAUCCCCAGCUCUUUGACUCCGGAUGAGCUCUCACUGAUAAGGAUUUAGUAUGGGAUUCCUCCAGAGUACGAGUUGGAGCUUCCCGGGCCAACUGACCAGGCUAGUGCCCCUCCUCUCGAUCACUUCUGUCUGUACCAAGAGGCCUUCCGUGCCAAACUUUGGCUUCCACUUCCACCUUUUGUCAUCAUCCUCUUUCAUUUUCUAAAUAUUUCUCU
Molecule: long non-coding RNA, 256 nt
Filed under: Elaeis guineensis (African oil palm)
Lineage: Eukaryota; Viridiplantae; Streptophyta; Magnoliopsida; Arecales; Arecaceae
Description: long non-coding RNA (EGUI_LNC068220)
Source: RNAcentral